GCUUGUGUGGCUCAGUGGCUGGAGCGUCAGUCCACACACCUGAAAGUCUCGGGUUCAAUUCCCGAUCAGGGGCA
This 74-nucleotide transfer RNA is filed under the name Myotis lucifugus (little brown bat). It matches the Rfam family "tRNA". From Rfam's summary of the family: Transfer RNA (tRNA) molecules are approximately 80 nucleotides in length. Their secondary structure includes four short double-helical elements and three loops (D, anti-codon, and T loops). Lineage: Eukaryota; Metazoa; Chordata; Mammalia; Chiroptera; Vespertilionidae. The record is from Rfam by way of RNAcentral.